Molecule: transfer RNA, 74 nt
Filed under: Leucobacter ruminantium
Lineage: Bacteria; Bacillati; Actinomycetota; Actinomycetes; Micrococcales; Microbacteriaceae
Also listed under: 5 other names
Rfam family: tRNA
About the family: Transfer RNA (tRNA) molecules are approximately 80 nucleotides in length. Their secondary structure includes four short double-helical elements and three loops (D, anti-codon, and T loops). Further hydrogen bonds mediate the characteristic L-shaped molecular structure. tRNAs have two regions of fundamental functional importance: the anti-codon, which is responsible for specific mRNA codon recognition, and the 3' end, to which the tRNAs corresponding amino acid is attached (by aminoacyl-tRNA synthetases). tRNAs cope with the degeneracy of the genetic code in two manners: having more than one tRNA (with a specific anti-codon) for a particular amino acid; and 'wobble' base-pairing, i.e. permitting non-standard base-pairing at the 3rd anti-codon position.
Source: Rfam by way of RNAcentral
GCGCCUGUAGCUCAGUUGGUUAGAGCAUCUCGUUUACACCGAGAGGGUCGGGGGUUCGAGUCCCUCCGGGCGCA